RNAcentral lists this small RNA (515 nucleotides) under Histoplasma ohiense. RNAcentral's name for it is "hypothetical lncRNA". Lineage: Eukaryota; Fungi; Ascomycota; Eurotiomycetes; Onygenales; Ajellomycetaceae. The record is from RNAcentral.
CAAGAUACAGCAGCCUGCAAAGUUAAUAAUCUGUUAUAUCCAUGGAUCGUUUGUAAUGUUUAAAAUGUGUGCGAUUGACCGUGGCCAAUAAGCAAUAAAACCAGUUAAGAAGCUACCACAUCUACAAAUACCUACUUAUCAGGCAGAUAGACAGUAUCAUUAUUCAGUUCUUUACCCAGAUUCGACGGCUAGGAGAAGAUAGAAGGAGAAGAGGAGAGAAGAACAGAAAAGAAAAAAAAAAAAUCAAAAGAAAGGAAAGGAAGGAAAAAGAACAGCUAUAUUUCCAGUGAGAUAUAACACAUGCCCUCCCUAUAGGGAAAAUAAGAACCAGUUAGCUAUUGACCUUUCGCGAGCUCACACAACCAGCCAACAUCAAGACAAACUGUGAUCGUUUUCCUUCAUUUUUUUUUUGUCCUUUGCUCAACCACACGCCGCCCGCUCCGCCAAGUUCCAUUUCUGUGCGCCCUUCCAAUAUGACUGGCGAGAAGUCUAAGAAAUAACUUCCACUACGGCAA